GUGCCAGCCGCCGCGGUAAUACGGAGGGUGCAAGCGUUAAUCGGAAUUACUGGGCGUAAAGCGCGCGUAGGUGGUUCAGUCAGUCAGAUGUGAAAGCCCCGGGCUCAACCUGGGAAUUGCACCUGAUACUGCUGAGCUAGAGUACGGUAGAGGGUAGUGGAAUUUCCUGUGUAGCGGUGAAAUGCGUAGAUAUAGGAAGGAACACCAGUGGCGAAGGCGACUACCUGGACUGAUACUGACACUGAGGUGCGAAAGCGUGGGGAGCAAACAGGAUUAGAAACCCUUGUAGUCC
This 292-nucleotide ribosomal RNA is filed under the name uncultured bacterium. RNAcentral's name for it is "partial 16S ribosomal RNA". It matches the Rfam family "Bacterial small subunit ribosomal RNA", at positions 505 to 796 of the family's 1533-position model. The record is from RNAcentral.